GUUUCGUAUGCAUUCCGAUCCCUUCGGGCUAGUUAAUCUGGAUCCCCACCAUGGAUGUUUGGCAUUCCCAGUCCUUGGAAAAAGUUUUUCAAAUCGAGUGCAUACAUUUGAUCUGAACUGUGGCAGCCUGCAUGGCGUUUUCCCUAGUAAGUACUGUCCAUGAUGUGAAAUUGAAGGCCCUGCUUGGCAAUAAUUGCAGCACCUCCAUGAGCUCUAUCCGAUGGAUGGUCAGCUCUUACUGUGUCGUAUCCACUAACUCUAAAAAGAGAUUUGCUAGUGAAGUGUGUUUCGGAAAGCCCAGUGGCAUUUCAUACUCCUAAGUUUAGAGACAAGAGACUUGUUUGAGGCACUUUUUCCUGCAGCCACUUGAGCGUAGGAUUGGUAAAUAAAUACUAAAAACAAGCCACAAGUCUGCUAAUGCAAUUUGUGCCUGGUCAAUGGCGGACUCAUCGUCUGCGACCAACCAACUUCGCUGUAGCGAUUAAAUUAACAACAAACAAAAGGAAAAACAUAACUAUCGAUAAUCUAUCGUGGACCAGCGAUCGAU
RNAcentral lists this long non-coding RNA (547 nucleotides) under Drosophila guanche. The record is from RNAcentral. Lineage: Eukaryota; Metazoa; Arthropoda; Insecta; Diptera; Drosophilidae.